AUCAUGGCUCAGAUUGAACGCUGCGGCAGGCCUAACACAUGCAAGUCGAGCGGUAGAGAGGUGCUUGCAUCUCUUGAGAGCGGCGGACGGGUGAGUAAUGCCUAGGAAUCUGCCUAGUGGUGGGGGAUAACGUUCGGAAACGGACGCUAAUACCGCAUACGUCCUACGGGAGAAAGCGGGGGGAUCUUCGGACCUCGCGCCAUUAGAUGAGCCUAGGUCGGAUUAGCUAGUUGGUGAGGUAAUGGCUCACCAAGGCGACGAUCCGUAACUGGUCUGAGAGGAUGAUCAGUCACACUGGAACUGAGACACGGUCCAGACUCCUACGGGAGGCAGCAGUGGGGAAUAUUGGACAAUGGGCGAAAGCCUGAUCCAGCCAUGCCGCGUGUGGGAAGAAGGUCUUCGGAUUGUAAAGCACUUUAAGUUGGGAGGAAGGGUAGUAACCUAAUACGUUGCUACUUUGACGUUACCGACAGAAUAAGCACCGGCUAACUUCGUG
RNAcentral lists this ribosomal RNA (496 nucleotides) under uncultured bacterium. RNAcentral describes it as "bacterial SSU rRNA". It matches the Rfam family "Bacterial small subunit ribosomal RNA", at positions 16 to 507 of the family's 1533-position model. The record is from RNAcentral.